UUCCGAUGCGUCUGCAAUCAUUGCAGCCAGACCUAAUUCCACCAACUCCGUUCCAAGAGAAUUCGGCACUACGUAUGUUUACAACAAUCCACUGACGAUCGAACCUAUAGUCCCUACCACAACGACUGAGGUUGUCGGUAACACACAAGGAUAUUACAUCAUUUAUCCAGGUGAUGAGGAUGUGGCGAUGGGUGUGAUAAUGAACUUGGUGUUGAAGGAGAAGAUAUUUAAAGAUAGUAUUUUGACGUUUGAAGGAAGGAUUUUAUCUGGUACCAAUAUUAUAAGGGAGGUUCCGGUGAUCGGAGGAACUGGUGUGUUUAGAUAUGCCACCGGAUAUUACCAGUCUCAAAUGAUUUCUGUUGAUCCAAAAACCGGUCAAAAUAUCGUUAUGUUCGAUAUUUAUGUUAAUAUAUACUCUGAAUCUCUUACUCAAUCCAUUUGUAAUGUGUGAUAUAUGAUAUAUCCUUAAUUAUGUUACUGUAAUAUAUACCUUUUUAUAUAUAAAGGGUUUGAAUUUAAUAUUUCUAGAAGUAAAAAUAUCUACAUUCUCGUGAUAUAUCAAAAAUAUAUAAAUUUAAUGAAACUACAUACACAACGAAACUCGAAUCCUAAAGUUGAAAAUAAAAUUCACUCAGUGAAAAACACAUUUUUUUUCCUUUUUUUUUUCCUUCUUUCUUUCUUUUUUCUUACAUUUGAUUGAUGUUUAUUACAUGAAUCUGUUUUUUUUUAUAUACAUUAGGGUAAUAAUUCACAUACUCAUUUAAUUAUAUACCUAAAAUAAUUCAGAGAAAUCAUAAAUUUGUAUUUCAAGGGAAUUUAAAUUAAGACAUAGGUUAACUUAGAGUAAUUAAAUACUGCCAAUAUAUAUAAAUCCAAAUAUGGAAUUAUAUAUAAUUCUUAAUUUCAACAAUAUUGGAAUUUAGAAUUAAGUUUACAAUAUAUAUAUCUUAUUCAUUGAUUGAUAUUUUUUUGUUGUUGUUUUACAUUUGUAGUUUAAUAAGUCAAGUCAUUAAUUACAUAUCAUUGUUUAUUAGAACUUGGUACUGCUAUCACUGAUUGCAGAGAUGAUUAGAUCUGAGUUGCUGCUAUAGAUGAUGAUCUGAAUUCAUAAUUUCCAGAAAGGAUCAAUUAUAGAAGUAGUCAAUGAGUAUAAAAAUAACAACCUACUAAUUAAUCUAAAUGAAUAGACUAAAUAAUCUUGGUAAAAUAAUCUUCAUUAUCUAAAUGAAGGACAAAUCAAGAUUUUUUUUAAUCUAAUACACACUAACCACUUAAGAAAUAGACUUGGUGGUUAAUUUUGAACACAGUCAUUUUAGAAGGCUAUAAUUGAAACCCACUAUUGGUUUGUGGGCUCGCCGUCUAGCCUAGUACAAGUGUUCCUUCGAGAAUUAUCAACCUCCUCCCUUAUUGGACCAGGUGAGGUAUUUAUAACCUCCUCUUGCUGUUCUUGGACCUCGUGGGCUCGCUCGUCAGACCUUAUUCGUUCGUCCGGGCCGUCGACGAGGCUGGUUCGGUCCAUGGGCCGCGGUCGGCGGUCCAUGGUACCAACACCCACCCUUCCAGAAAUUGUUGACAAGUUGCUGCGAGAACUAUUACAAUGUCCAAAAGUUAUUGUCCAGAAUUGUUAUUACAAUAUUCAGAAUAUUACAAUAUCACUUUAACAACGUUUUGGUAUGAUUCUAUUGCAGUUCCGUUUUUUCUAAAUUAAAAUAGUUUACACUCAAUACAGAUUUCUAAAUAUUAUAAUAGAUUUGUAAUAUUCCAUUAGAAAUCUAACUAAAUUGGAAUUCGAAUUCAAAUUUAUUUGUAACUCUAAGAUUGAAAAGAUAGCAUAUAAAUUGUAGGAUAAAAUUGAAAAAAGAUAAUUAUACAUGAGAUAGUAUAAAAUUUUAUUUUGGCUAUUUUUAGAUUUCAAUCAAUUUAUAUAUAUAAAAUAUUUGAAUCUCCAAAAUGACUAAAUGAAAGUUAGGUUAUAAAUUAAUUGCGCAUUGAAAAAACUCACAAGAUACAAAAAUAUUUCACUUUCAUUGACUAUAGUGGUGUCAAGUGGUUAAAAAUUAAGCUAAUUAAGCCGCCCAGGCCAUAAGAUCGAUGGUGUGCAGUUUCAAAAAUAUGACGAACAAAGCAAAACUAACGAGCUAAGCAACCUAGCACUUUAAUCUUCUAUAAAUACAAACAUAUGGGAAACAAGUACCAGCAGUCAAUCCAAUAAUAGCGAAACUCUUCUCAGUCACAAUCCUCUUCAUACUUUCAAUCGCCUCGGUCGUCCUGAUCUCCUUUUGCGAUGCUCAGGGGGGCAAAUCCGUGUUGAAAGAUGUGCGGAAACCGUUGAAACUUCAAGAAACGGUGUUAACGCACCUCACUUUCUACUGGCACGAGUCGUUCGUCGGCCCCAAUGCGUCCGCUGUCAUUAUAGCCGGAGUUAAUUCCACCGACUCAGCUACAAGAGCAUUCGGUACUACGUAUGCUUACGACAAUCCUCUGACGAUAGAGCCUAUAGUCCCUACAACAACGAGUGAGGUUGUCGGUAGAGCACAAGGAUAUUACACCAUGUAUCCAAGUGACGAUGAGAUAGCAAUUGGUGUGAUAAUGAACGUCGCUUUGAAGGAGGAGAUGUUUGCCGAUAGUAUUUUGACGUUCGAAGGGAGGAUUUUAUCUGGUACCGGUUUUAUAAGAGAGGUUCCGGUGAUCGGAGGAAGUGGUGUGUUUAGGUAUGCUACUGGAUAUUAUCAGUCUCAAAUGCUUAACUCUGAUUCAAUCACUGGUCAAAAUAUCGUUAUGUUCGAUAUUUACGUUAAUAUGCUUUCGGAACCUCUUACUAAAUCCAUAUAAUAAGUAAUUAUAUCUAUGCUUAAUUAUAUAAAGAUGUGAAAACCCUAUUUACAUAUAAAGGGUUUGAAUGUAAUAUUAAUUAUGAAAUUAAUUACGUCUUUUCCCCUACCUAAUUAAUCUCUUAAUUUGAACAUCUUUUAGUUGGAGGAAGCAAGGAGAUUUCUCACGAUAACUAUUAAAGUUUUUGAAUGUUUAAGAAUCUAUUCUCGAUGUGUGAGUAAUUUUCAUUUAAUUUUCAAUAUGAUGUAACUAAUGAUAUAUUAUAUAGUUAUGAUAUAUCACUCGAAAGUAGGUAACUUCAGUUAUCAAAAAAAAUCUCCAAGUUGAAAAAGAUGUGUUAAUUAAGAAAUACCUUAAUCCCUAAUUAAAAUGAGUUCAACCUUGCUAAUCUGAUCAAUCGACACGGAGAGAUUAGCAGUUCACAUGACCAGACAUUUUUAAGGUUUUUAAAGAUUUAAAAUUUGAGUCUUGUGAUAUAUCAUUGGUAGGUAGACAUUUUUAGAGGUAUCUUCUGUUAUCUAAAAAAUCGAUCUACUGUUAAAAAAAUUAUGAAACAACAAUGCUCACUUUAGGAUUGAAACAUACAACUAAAGUCUUUAUUGUUUAAGCGGCAUACUGUGUUUGGACUAUCUUCUGUUAUCUAAUAACCUGGAGGUUGAGAAAUAAACACAGUUUCUUUUAACUCUCCUUGAAAGAAAGCAUUUUUCACAUUCAACUGUCUAUUUACAAAUAGAGAACAACAUUCUAAUUGUAGAGGUUUUAACUACUAAUUGUUUAAGCGGCAUACUAUAUAUUAGUCUAUAAUAAACAUUAAAAAAUGAUUACGAACGGAUUAAGGACGACUUAGAGAAGUAAAAAUAUUUAGAAAUGGAAAUAAAAAUUUGGACGGCAAAUUAAUGACAUGGAAAAAUAAUUAACGACGACCAAGUGAAAUUGCACGCCAAUCCUCGUGUGCGCCAAACAAAAUUAUUAGCGACGGCGAAGACACUCCUUAAUUAGCCGUCCCUAGCUAAAACAUGGCCACCCCUAGCUAAACACAUGGGUGCCGCAGAAAAUUACUUUGAUUUAAAACUAAAUUGUCAAGAGUCAAUUACAAUCGAUAUCACUAAACUAUUUAUAAUGCCAUAAGUCGUUUGCUUAUUUAAGCAACUAACUGUUUUAUUAACUAACUCUAAUCAACUUGAAUUUAUCUAAGAUUGAUUAACUGAUUUAUGUGAUAAAUGUCAGUAAUUAUUCUUCUGACAAUAUAUAAGGGUCGCAUAAUAUAUUAUCGAUUAAUAAAACUCUGAACCUUCUGCAAUCUUUAUAGUUUUCAGUGAUCAGUUGAAUUAUAUAUUUUAUCUUUAAUUUCUUUUACAGACUUUUUUUGGGUUGGAUUAAAAACGUUUAAAACCAUGUAAAAAUUAUCUGCAGACAUUAAUUGUGUAAUUUAUGACAAUCUUCUCAAUUGUAUAUUGUUACACGUAAGUUGAGACACGUAUUCCGACACGUAAGUUGAUAUGGUUAUUAAUGAUACACGUAUUCCACUACAAGAGAAAGACUUUUUUACGAUAAGAUAAAAGAUAAAAGACAUAAGAUAAAAGACAAUGUUGAACAUCAAUCAUUGAAGAUAAAAGAUAAGAUAUUGAGAUGUAGCAAUCAACAAUUUUUUUAUAAAUACAACCCUAGCUUUUGAGGAUACAAUUAACUAUCAAUUCGUCACUUCAAUUUAAUUCCAAUGGCGAAAAACUUCUCUUGCAGUUCUAAGGAGGGGAGAUCUGUGUUGAAAGAUGUGGGAAAAUCACCAAAACUUCCAGAACCGGUGUUAACCCAUCUCAAGUUCUACUGGCACGAGUCGUUUGUGGGUUCUGAUGCGUCUGCAAUCAUUGUAGCCGGACCUAAUUCCACCAACUCCGCUCCAAGAGAAUUCGGCACUACGUAUGUUUACAACAAUCCACUGACGAUCGAACCUAUAGUCCCUACCACAACGACUGAGGUUGUCGGGAACGCACAAGGAUAUUACAUCAUUUAUCCAGGUGAUGGGGAUGUCACGAUGGGUGUGAUAAUGAACUUGGUGUUGAAGGAGGAGAUAUUUAAAGAUAGUAUUUUGACGUUUGAAGGAAGGAUUUUAUCUGGUACCAAUAUUGUAAGGGAGGUUCCGGUGAUCGGAG
Molecule: long non-coding RNA, 4982 nt
Filed under: Zostera marina
Lineage: Eukaryota; Viridiplantae; Streptophyta; Magnoliopsida; Alismatales; Zosteraceae
Description: long non-coding RNA (ZMAR_LNC004668)
Source: RNAcentral